This 532-nucleotide ribosomal RNA is filed under the name uncultured bacterium. RNAcentral's name for it is "bacterial SSU rRNA". It matches the Rfam family "Bacterial small subunit ribosomal RNA", at positions 338 to 866 of the family's 1533-position model. The record is from RNAcentral.
CCUACGGGAGGCAGCAGUGAGGAAUAUUGGACAAUGGGCGCAAGCCUGAUCCAGCCAUGCCGCGUGCAGGAUGACGGUCCUAUGGAUUGUAAACUGCUUUUGCACAGGAAGAAACAACGCUACGUGUAGCGUCUUGACGGUACUGUGAGAAUAAGGAUCGGCUAACUCCGUGCCAGCAGCCGCGGUAAUACGGAGGAUCCAAGCGUUAUCCGGAAUCAUUGGGUUUAAAGGGUCCGUAGGCGGUUUAGUAAGUCAGUGGUGAAAGCCCAUCGCUCAACGGUGGAACGGCCAUUGAUACUGCUAGACUUGAAUUAUUAGGAAGUAACUAGAAUAUGUAGUGUAGCGGUGAAAUGCUUAGAGAUUACAUGGAAUACCAAUUGCGAAGGCAGGUUACUACUAAUUGAUUGACGCUGAUGGACGAAAGCGUGGGUAGCGAACAGGAUUAGAUACCCUGGUAGUCCCACGACCGUAACGAUGAUACUAGCUGUUGGGUAGGCGAUCUCUAGUGGCGUAGACGAAAGUAGAGUAAGUA